Molecule: transfer RNA, 79 nt
Filed under: Merluccius polli (Benguela hake)
Lineage: Eukaryota; Metazoa; Chordata; Actinopteri; Gadiformes; Merlucciidae
Description: tRNA-Val
Source: RNAcentral
GGUCCUGUUUAGCUCAACUGGUAGAGCAUGGCAGUAACACUGCCAGGGUUUAGGGUUUGAUUCCCACUGGGACUGCCCA